Molecule: ribosomal RNA, 467 nt
Filed under: uncultured bacterium
Lineage: Bacteria
Description: partial 16S ribosomal RNA
Rfam family: Bacterial small subunit ribosomal RNA
Source: RNAcentral
GAUGAACGCUGGCGGCGUGCUUAACACAUGCAAGUCGAACGGAAAGGCCAGUGCUUGCACUGGUGCUCGAGUGGCGAACGGGUGAGUAACACGUGGGUGAUCUGCCCUGCACUUUGGGAUAAGCCUGGGAAACUGGGUCUAAUACCAGAUAGGACCAUGCUUUGGAUGGUGUGGUGGAAAGUUUUUUCGGUGUGGGAUGAGCUUGCGGCCUAUCAGCUUGUUGGUGGGGUAAUGGCCUACCAAGGCGUCGACGGGUAGCCGGCCUGAGAGGGUGUACGGCCACAUUGGGACUGAGAUACGGCCCAGACUCCUACGGGAGGCAGAAGUGGGGAAUAUUGCACAAUGGGCGCAAGCCUGAUGCAGCGACGCCGCGUGGGGGAGGACGGCCUUCGGGUUGUAAACUCCUUUCGCAACUGACGAAGCUUUUUGUGACGGUAGGUUGAGAAGAAGCACCGGCUAACUACGUG